Molecule: ribosomal RNA, 753 nt
Filed under: uncultured bacterium
Lineage: Bacteria
Description: bacterial SSU rRNA
Rfam family: Bacterial small subunit ribosomal RNA
Source: RNAcentral
GAAACUGUUAGACUUGAGUGCAGANGGGGAGAGUGGAAUUCCAUGUGUAGCGGUGAAAUGCGUAGAUAUAUGGAGGAACACCGGUGGCGAAAGCGGCUCUNUGGUCUGUCACUGACGCUGAGGCUCGAAAGCGUGGGUAGCGAACAGGAUUAGAUACCCUGGUAGUCCACGCCGUAAACGCUGAGUGCUAGGUGUUAGGUCCUUUCCGGGACUUAGUGCCGACGCUAACGCAUUAAGCACUCCGCCUGGGGGGUACGACCGCAAGGUUGAAACUCAAAGGAAUUGACGGGGGCCCGCACAAGCGGUGGAGCAUGUGGUUUAAUUCGAAGCAACGCGAAGAACCUUACCAGGUCUUGACAUCCCGAUGCCCGCUCUAGAGAUAGAGUUUUACUUUUUGUACAUCGGAGACAGGUGGUGCAUGGUUGUCGUCAGCUCGUGUCGUGAGAUGUUGGGUUNNNNNNNNCAGCGAGCGCAACCCUUAUUGUUAGUUGCCAUCAUUAAGUUGGGCACUCUAGCGAGACUGCCGGUAAUAAACCGGAGGAAGGUGGGGAUGACGUCAAAUCAUCAUGCCCCUUAUGACCUGGGCUACACACGUGCUACAAUGGUUGGUACAACGAGUCGCAAGCCGGUGACGGCAAGCUAAUCUCUGAAAGCCAAUCUCAGUUCGGAUUGUAGGCUGCAACUCGCCUACAUGAAGUCGGAAUCGCUAGUAAUCGCGGAUCAGCACGCCGCGGUGAAUACGUUCCCGGGCCU